CCCGCCUGGGAACUACGAGCAUAAGCUUAAAACCUAAAGGACUUGGCGGUGCUUUAGACCCACCUAGAGGAGCCUGUUCUACAACCGAUAACCCCCGUUAAACCUCACCUUCUUUUGUUAUUUCCGCCUAUAUACCGCCGUCGUCAGCUUACCCUGUGAAGGUUCUUCAGUAAGCAAAAUUGAUUUUUUCCAAAACGCCGGGUCGAGGUGUAGCAUAUGAGAAGGAAAGAAAUGGGCUACAUUUUCUGAUACAGAAAACACGGAUAUUACUAUGAAACAGUAUAUAGAAGGAGGAUUUAGCAGUAAGCAGAGAAUAGAGAGCUCU
RNAcentral lists this ribosomal RNA (325 nucleotides) under Iconisemion striatum. RNAcentral describes it as "partial 12S ribosomal RNA". It matches the Rfam family "Bacterial small subunit ribosomal RNA", at positions 868 to 1360 of the family's 1533-position model. Lineage: Eukaryota; Metazoa; Chordata; Actinopteri; Cyprinodontiformes; Nothobranchiidae. The record is from RNAcentral.